AGAUUGAACGCUGGCGGCAUGCCUUACACAUGCAAGUCGAACGCGAAAGGGGGGCAACCCCCGAGUAGAGUGGCGAACGGGUGAGUAAUACAUCGGAACGUGUCCAGUAGCGGGGGAUAACCUCUCGAAAGAGAGGCUAAUACCGCAUACGACCUACGGGUGAAAGAGGGGGAUCGCAAGACCUCUCACUAUUGGAGCGGCCGAUGUCGGAUUAGCUAGUUGGCGGGUAACGGCCCACAAGGCGACGAUCCGUAGCUGGUCUGAGAGGACGACCAGCCACACUGGAACUGAGACACGGUCCAGACUCCUACGGGAGGCAGCAGUGGGGAAUUUGGACAAUGGGCGCAAGCCUGAUCCAGCCAUGCCGCGUGAGUGAAGAAGGCCUUCGGGUUGUAAAGCUCUUUCGGCUGGACGAAAAGGUCCGUGUUAACACCACGGAUCCAUGACGGUACCAGCAGAAGAAGCACCGGCUAACUACGUGCCAGCAGCCGCGUAA
This 496-nucleotide ribosomal RNA is filed under the name uncultured soil bacterium. RNAcentral's name for it is "bacterial SSU rRNA". It matches the Rfam family "Bacterial small subunit ribosomal RNA", at positions 26 to 522 of the family's 1533-position model. The record is from RNAcentral.